This 57-nucleotide transfer RNA is filed under the name Rhinebothrium sp. 3 DJM-2021. RNAcentral's name for it is "tRNA-Arg". The record is from RNAcentral. Lineage: Eukaryota; Metazoa; Platyhelminthes; Cestoda; Rhinebothriidea; Rhinebothriidae.
AGCAUAAAAAAAUCUAUGUUACGGCCAUAGAAUAGAUGGCAAAGCCAUCAUAUGCUU